RNAcentral lists this long non-coding RNA (382 nucleotides) under Equus asinus (donkey). RNAcentral's name for it is "lncRNA (ENSEASG00005038641.1)". Lineage: Eukaryota; Metazoa; Chordata; Mammalia; Perissodactyla; Equidae. The record is from RNAcentral.
UGGGACCGCAGGGAGGAUGGCGCCUCCGGCUCCAGGCUAGCGUUCCGCGAGCGCACGCAUUUCACAUGCAUUUGAGAAAUAUCCAUUUAUGAUGGCGCAGAGGAUAAGGCAGCCCCCCAACUGUCUGGGUGCAAAGAUGGGGUCCCAGGCCUCUUCCAGUUGCGCUGGCUCCAAGUUGGGAGGACUCAUGCAACAGGAGACUGGACCACGUGAUGGAGAACUCCAUUCCCAGCCUAGGUGCUGGCAGGAGCCCCGUGUUCAGCUGGAUGAAUCUCCCUCCAGCACCAGGCAUCAGUAAGGCCUCUAUGCCCUGGAUCCUUACCUUCACAGUGACUGUCUUCUUGUUCUUGCUGAUAUGGAUCUCCUCUCAUGGAAGAACUUU